AUAAAUGCUGGCGGUAGGCCUAACACAUGCAAGUCGAACGGCAGCACAGGAGAGCUUGCUCUCUGGGUGGCGAGUGGCGGACGGGUGAGGAAUACAUCGGAAUCUACUUUUUCGUGGGGGAUAACGUAGGGAAACUUACGCUAAUACCGCAUACGACCUACGGGUGAGAGCAGGGGACCUUCGGGCCUUGCGCGAUUGAAUGAGCCGAUGUCGGAUUAGCUAGUUGGCGGGGUAAAGGGCCACCAAGGGGACGAUCCGUAGCUGGUCUGAGAGGAUGAUCAGCCACACUGGAACUGAGACACGGUCCAGACUCCUACGGGAGGGAGCAGUGGGGAAUAUUGGACAAUGGGCGCAAGCCUGAUCCAGCCAUACCGCGUGGGUGAAGAAGGCCUUCGGGUUGUAAAGCCCUUUUGUUGGGAAAGAAAUCCAGCCGGCUAAUACCUGGUUGGGAUGACGGUACCCAAAGAAUAAGCACCGGCUAACUUCGUGCCAGCCGCCGCAGUAA
This 505-nucleotide ribosomal RNA is filed under the name uncultured bacterium. RNAcentral's name for it is "partial 16S ribosomal RNA". It matches the Rfam family "Bacterial small subunit ribosomal RNA", at positions 29 to 523 of the family's 1533-position model. The record is from RNAcentral.